AUCAAAGCAUUGCACCAUCACCAGCAUAACGGUUUCUGAAAAUGAAGUUGAGUGAUGUUGGGUUGUUCUUAAUAGUUCUUUUUACACUUGUCCUGAUUACAUCCGGAGGAAGAAACCUCCUUCAGAGCUCUCCACAACACCAAGUUAUCAACCCACGAGGAUCCAUGUUUCAACCAAAAAACCAACCAAAAGAUAGGGCCGGUUGUUGGGAGUGCUGGGAGGAUGAGCCAAAUGAUUGAGUUAACCCAUUACCCAUGUAUGUAAAUAUAAUUACGACAUAUGAUUGGAUUGAGUCAUCAAUAGCAACUAUGCUAGUAUGAAUAAAAGGUGAAAUAUUGUUAUUUAUGUUGUAUGCAGUAUUUGUUAUGAAGUGUAUGUAAUAUUGUGAUAA
Long non-coding RNA from Helianthus annuus (common sunflower), 391 nucleotides. RefSeq lists it as uncharacterized. The transcript has 2 exons. NCBI's taxonomy places the organism in Eukaryota, Viridiplantae, Streptophyta, Magnoliopsida, Asterales, Asteraceae. The record is from RefSeq and is a predicted model, not a curated record.